RNAcentral lists this long non-coding RNA (314 nucleotides) under Carica papaya (papaya). RNAcentral describes it as "long non-coding RNA (CPAP_LNC005159)". Lineage: Eukaryota; Viridiplantae; Streptophyta; Magnoliopsida; Brassicales; Caricaceae. The record is from RNAcentral.
GUUUUGGUCUAAUCCUAACCCCUCCCUAAGCCCAGAGUUCGUUUUUUACCGAGCCCCCAAUCACCCAAUUAAUACCCAAUAAGUUGUACGUCAUAUGCCAAAGACUAUAGGUCACCGGGCACCAAAGAAGUAGAUGAUUGCAAGAUUCAGCAACUUCCAUACAAAGAUAACAACCAUUAACCAUAGUAUGACCUCUUCUUAUCAACUUAUCAAUAGUAAAAAUGCAUUCCCGACCCGCUUCCCAGGGAAAAAAAAGUGAUUCUCGUUGACGCCUUCACUUUCCAAAUAUGACAAAUCGGGAAAUUCAAGCCAAC